Molecule: ribosomal RNA, 433 nt
Filed under: uncultured bacterium
Lineage: Bacteria
Description: partial 16S ribosomal RNA
Rfam family: Bacterial small subunit ribosomal RNA
Source: RNAcentral
AACGAACGCUGGCGGCAUGCCUAACACAUGCAAGUCGAACGAGACCUUCGGGUCUAGUGGCGCACGGGUGCGUAACGCGUGGGAACCUGCCCUUAGGUUCGGAAUAACUCCCCGAAAGGGGUGCUAAUACCGGAUAAUGUCUUCGCACCAAAGAUUUAUCGCCUUUGGAUGGGCCCGCGUUGGAUUAGCUAGUUGGUAGGGUAAAAGCCUACCAAGGCGACGAUCCAUAGCUGGUCUGAGAGGAUGAUCAGCCACACUGGGACUGAGACACGGCCCAGACUCCUACGGGAGGCAGCAGUGGGGAAUAUUGGACAAUGGGCGAAAGCCUGAUCCAGCAAUGCCGCGUGAGUGAUGAAGGCCUUAGGGUUGUAAAGCUCUUUUACCCGGGAUGAUAAUGACAGUACCGGGAGAAUAAGCUCCGGCUAACUCCGUG